CGUAGGGUGCGAGCGUUGUCCGGAAUUAUUGGGGCGUAAAAGAGCUUGUAGGCGGUUUGUCGCGUCUGCUGUGGAAAAAUCCGGGGGCUCAAACCCCGGACUUGCAGUGGGUACGGGCAGACUAGAGUGUGGUAGGGGAGACUGGAAUUCCUGGUGUAGCGGUGGAAUGCGCAGAUAUCAGGAGGAACACCGAUGGCGAAGGCAGGUCUCUGGGCCACUACUGACGCUGAGAAGCGAAAGCAUGGGGGAGCGAACAGGAUU
Molecule: ribosomal RNA, 261 nt
Filed under: uncultured bacterium
Lineage: Bacteria
Description: partial 16S ribosomal RNA
Rfam family: Bacterial small subunit ribosomal RNA
Source: RNAcentral